UGCCCAGCAACUCCUAUCUCUAUCUCUUCGUGGUAUUGGCCGGAGUUAGAGUAACUUUAGGGAAGAUCGGGUAACCAACCCCCAGUGGAACUUUGAUCGUAUGCUGACAUGGUAGG
This 116-nucleotide ribozyme is filed under the name Aedes aegypti (yellow fever mosquito). RNAcentral describes it as "drz-agam-1 ribozyme". It matches the Rfam family "drz-agam-1 ribozyme". The record is from Rfam by way of RNAcentral. Lineage: Eukaryota; Metazoa; Arthropoda; Insecta; Diptera; Culicidae.